Molecule: transfer RNA, 71 nt
Filed under: Loxodonta africana (African savanna elephant)
Lineage: Eukaryota; Metazoa; Chordata; Mammalia; Proboscidea; Elephantidae
Rfam family: tRNA
About the family: Transfer RNA (tRNA) molecules are approximately 80 nucleotides in length. Their secondary structure includes four short double-helical elements and three loops (D, anti-codon, and T loops).
Source: Rfam by way of RNAcentral
GCAUUGGUAGUUCAGUGGUAUAAUUCUUGCCUCCCGUGUGUGAGACAUGGGUUCAAUUCCUGGCCAAUGCA